Molecule: long non-coding RNA, 1031 nt
Organism: Ictalurus punctatus (channel catfish)
Lineage: Eukaryota; Metazoa; Chordata; Actinopteri; Siluriformes; Ictaluridae
Source: Ensembl
AUGUUGGGAUGUACUGUUUUAUUAACAGCGUCACAAAACCAGCAGUCGCUGAAUGCACGCUGUAGCUGAAGGCCGUCUCACCGUGGACAGGUGCGCUGCCUCUCUGCGCAUGCGCAGUCCUCCCGGCUCGGCAAGUUAGUGUUAAAAUGGCGGCGGCCGCAGCGGAGCAGGUAACGCAACCUGUGUAAUCUCAACUGCCGCUCGGCGUCACUUCAACUCGGGCGGUGCUGCUGGAGGAAAAGUGGACGAGUGUGGAUUUAUUUCUCGGAGCCUGUCAGUAAAAAUUUUCACGCUGCUGAAAACGGCUCUGUCGUCGGUUCACACACUCCCGAUCUCCUUCGCGGUGUGUGUUUGAGCUCCACGCCGCUGUACUGCCGCUCGGCCUCAGCCACUGCCUCUCUGCACAGCGCCUCCUGUGGUGAGGAGGAGGAGCAGCACAGCGUGGAGUCGCAGGACUCGGGCAUCCCGACUCUGGAGCUCAGCUCACCCGAGGGGACGGAAGAGUCGCACAGCACAGACAGACACCGAGACGCUCCGGCCACGCUGAAGCUAGAGACGACGGGUGAGGGCGGGGCUUCAAGUCAGGUCAGGGGCGGGGCUUUAAGCUACCGAGACUCCACCUCUGUGUGCAGCACCUCCAGUCUGAGCACGGACUUCUCGGCCACGCUGUCGAUCGGCAACGACGAUGGCGCCGGCGACUUCGUGGUGACGUCGGACUCGAGCGCCGUCGUCGAUUUUCACGACUGUAGCGACUUCUCCCGGUUUCCCCAAGCCCCGCCCAUAAAUAGUGCACACGGACACCGUCACAACGAGGUAGCGACGAAGAAAGAGAGUCCAAUUGUGAGCUUCUUCAACAGGAGUCUGUUCUCUAAGAAGGGGAGGGACGCUGGAGGUCCGAGCGCUCAUUCCGAGCCGAACCGGAGGCUGUUUGGCAGAGAUUCACCCAGACCGACCCAAAGAGUUCUGAAGGUAGGACUCGCAUUAAUGGAAAACGUCCAUCGUGGAUCCCAGUGAAGAGUAAGGAUGAUAUC